RNAcentral lists this ribosomal RNA (500 nucleotides) under uncultured Anaerococcus sp. Its description in RNAcentral is "bacterial SSU rRNA". It matches the Rfam family "Bacterial small subunit ribosomal RNA", at positions 8 to 507 of the family's 1533-position model. The record is from RNAcentral. Lineage: Bacteria; Bacillati; Bacillota; Tissierellia; Tissierellales; Peptoniphilaceae.
AGAGUUUGAUCCUGGCUCAGGAUUAACGCUGGCGGCGUGCAUAACACAUGCAAGUCGAACGAUUGAAACUUUUUUGAUUUCUUCGGAAAUGAAAAAAAGUGGAUUAGUGGCGGACGGGUGAGUAACGCGUGAGUAACCUGCCUUAGAGAAGGGGAUAGCCUUUGGAAACGAAGAAUAAUACCCUAUGAUACCAACACUUCGCAUGGAGAGUUGGUCAAAGAUUUAUCGCUCUAAGAUGGACUUGCGUCUGAUUAGUUAGUUGGUGGGGUAACGGCCUACCAAGACAGCGAUCAGUAGCCGGCUUGAGAGAGUGUACGGCCACAUUGGGACUGAGACACGGCCCAGACUCCUACGGGAGGCAGCAGUGGGGAAUUUUGCACAAUGGGGGAAACCCUGAUGCAGCGACGCCGCGUGAUUUAGAAGGCCUUCGGGUUGUAAAAAAUCUUUUCUAUGGGAAGAAAAUGACAGUACCAUAGGAAUAAGGACCGGCUAAUUACGUG